This is a long non-coding RNA of Monodelphis domestica (gray short-tailed opossum), 1795 nucleotides long. Lineage: Eukaryota; Metazoa; Chordata; Mammalia; Didelphimorphia; Didelphidae. The record is from Ensembl.
UAUAAUAUAGUUUGAGAUCUGGGACUGGAAGGCCCCCUUCCUUUGUAUUUUUUUCAUUGUUUCCCUGGAUAUCCUUGAACAAAGUAAUUCUUAAAUAGUAGUGAAUGGGAAGCAGUAGGAAUUGAGUCAUUAAGAAGUGUCAGAUUUAAAUUAAUUUGGAGCAAGGGAAAUAUAGAACAAUUAUGAAUAUGUUCACGUCAACUGAGUUUUAUAGAGAAAUUUAAUUAAUAAUACAAUGAUUAAUCAAUAGAAAGAGAGAGUAAGAAAAGGAAUAAGUAUGAAGGGCCUUAAGCCAAUAUGGCUUAGACCUGAAUCUUAAGAGAGAAAUCAGUCAGUUUGUUAUAACUCACCAUAAGAUCUGUCUAAGUAAGGAUUCUAAUGACAAUGGACAGCGUCCUUCCUCAAAGAGCCUCCCAGCCAGGGAUCGUUUCGAAGGGCCUCUCUCUUGAGAGCCUCCAGGGGGACAGAGCCCCUCAGAGGAGCUCCUCAAGGAGCUUUCCUUCAGAAUGAGAUUCUUCAGAAUGAGUUCUCCUCAAUCUGAAUGUUUCAGAAUGGGAUCUCUCAGAAUGAGCUCUUCUCAACCUGAGAUCCAGCUCUUCUCUGAGCUCUUAUUUUUAAGCACAAAAUCUCAUGUCACCUCCCCUAAGUCCUUACAUCUACAAAUCACUGUAGAUGUUUCUAAAGGACUGCCCAUUUUGAAUUCACAGCUGAGUAGUUUUAAAUCUCUUUAGUAAGUCAGGAAAAAAUGCUGCUGUGUCAACUAAUUUCAUCAGGAGGAAACCUCUGAAGAAGUUAUCACCCUUUUAGGUUUAAGUAGUUUACAAGUUGCCCCACCUUUAUAGGUACUUAGUAUCCCAUUGUAUCAAUUCUAGAAACAGUCAUGACUCAAGAACUUCCUGUCCCUUCCAUGAGCAUGGAUCAAAGUACUUUCAUUGUUUAGCAAGAAGUUUCUGCCCUAAAGCAGUCCCAAGUAGGGUGGAGCAGGGACACUCCCAUAGCUGGGAGCCCCCACACUCAAAUAGAGUUCUCACCAUCUGCUAGGGACUUUUUUUUUUAAGUAGAAGUUUCCCCAAUGGGGGAAACCCCUAACAUUCAUAAGUCUGAGAAAUUUUAAGGUUUACAGAAGUUAGAAUGACCUCUUGAAAGAUGGAAGUGUCCCAGGCCUUAGCCAUUGAGUCCAAAGAAUUCAUUUUUACAUUGAAAAAAUUAAGGCUUAGAGAUUAUGUAGGACAAUCCUUGACUGUUAUUGAUGAAAACUAUGAAAUAAUGGUUUCCUUAAAACCAUUCAGUGAAUUAGUAUGAGAACAAGGCUUCAAAUCUAGUUAUUAUGAGUCCUAGCCCAGUAAUCAUUCCUUGACAUCAACCAGCUUGAGAACUUGGGGGAACAGAAUUGGUAACUGAAGUAUCCUCUAUGUUUCAAAUUGUUAAUGUAAAUGCAUCUACUAAUAAGCUCUCUCUCUCUCUCUCUCUCUCUCUCUCUCUCUCUCUCUCUCUCUCUCUCUCUCUCUCUCUCAUUCUUUUUCUCUCUCACCAUUUAUAGGCAUUGUUAAAAAUAGACGCUGUGAGUAAUAUUUUCUUAAUUAUUUCCCCAUAUAUGCAUGAAGUGAUAAUUCAUACACUAGGAGAAUCUGGGAAUUUAUGUGAUCAUAAGUUUUAUAAAUCAAUACACCCGUCAAGGCUUCCUAAUUUGUAGAGGAGAUAUUAUCCUUUUCAGUUUCCCUUACUUGUGUGGUUUAUUUGCACCAAGUCUUUCUUAAGGAAUAAAACAAAGGAAAAAUUUGAAAAAGUAAGUGAA